UUAUUCCCAAAGGACACAGUGACUAUUAUGUUGGGCCUCAAAAACUGAAAGCACUAAAAAUUACUCUUUGGAGUUUACUACCAGAAUCCAGCGUCUUGACAGACCAAAUCGGACUGGAAUGGGAUCCUUCAAGAGCAUGGACUUUGUACCGGAUGGCCUCUAAGUGUCCUGCUGACCCCGGAAAUCACCAUUUAUGACUGAUGAGGAGGUGAUGACGUGUGUUUCUGCUCAGAGUUUCAGGUGGUGAAAAAAUAGGCUAUUUCAUAAGGACCUCUGUGACUUCCUGAACAUUCUCUUUUCAUUGAGGAAGUGACCCUAACUGGAGGACAGCAUCUCCCAUGGCAGCAGGAGGAGAGAAGGCAGGUGAGUAAUGAGGUGACCCCUUAUUCUCCUGAGUGCACAAGGGUUCUGUCGCCAUGAAUCACAAUAGAUUUCC
This is a long non-coding RNA of Herpailurus yagouaroundi (jaguarundi), 436 nucleotides long. RefSeq lists it as uncharacterized. The record is from RefSeq and is a predicted model, not a curated record. The transcript has 3 exons. Lineage: Eukaryota; Metazoa; Chordata; Mammalia; Carnivora; Felidae.